AUUGAACGCUGGCGGCAGGCUUAACACAUGCAAGUCGAGCGGGGGAAGGUAGCUUGCUACCGGACCUAGCGGCGGACGGGUGAGUAAUGCUUAGGAAUCUGCCUAUUAGUGGGGGACAACAUCUCGAAAGGGAUGCUAAUACCGCAUACGUCCUACGGGAGAAAGCAGGGGAUCUUCGGACCUGGCGCUAAUAGAUGAGCCUAAGUCGGAUUAGCUAGUUGGUGGGGUAAAGGCCUACCAAGGCGACGAUCUGUAGCGGGUCUGAGAGAAUGAUCCGCCACACUGGGACUGAGACACGGCCCAGACUCCUACGGGAGGCAGCAGUGGGGAAUAUUGGACAAUGGGGGGAACCCUGAUCCAGCCAUGCCGCGUGUGUGAAGAAGGCCUUAUGGUUGUAAAGCACUUUAAGCGAGGAGGAGGCUACUCUAGUUAAUACCUAGGGAUAGUGGACGUUACUCGCAGAAUAAGCACCGGCUAACUCUGUGCCAGCCGCCGCAGUAA
This 501-nucleotide ribosomal RNA is filed under the name uncultured bacterium. RNAcentral's name for it is "partial 16S ribosomal RNA". It matches the Rfam family "Bacterial small subunit ribosomal RNA", at positions 30 to 523 of the family's 1533-position model. The record is from RNAcentral.